Molecule: non-coding RNA, 29 nt
Filed under: Mus musculus (house mouse)
Lineage: Eukaryota; Metazoa; Chordata; Mammalia; Rodentia; Muridae
Source: RNAcentral
UGCAAAUGAGCAAUGCCUAUUUUGAAGGA